UCCGGUAUCAAUGCGGGUCAGGGAAAGAGCGAGCGGCAGGCUCCACACAGGAUCCGCCCCUUCGGGAUAGGCCACGCCCCGAGCGCGCCGGAUAUCCGCCUCUCCACUCCGCGCGCGGGCCCGGCCACCAGAGAAAGACCCCGCCCACCAGCCGCGCGCACUUUUUUUCAAACCCAGCUAGAGCUGUCAUUGGUCAGUCCGCUAACAGGGCGGGGCUAUCAUGGCCGCGGCCCCACCCUCCGUCCUGUCAUUGGGCGCUCAGGAUGCGAAUUCGAAUCAGGGCGGUUUGUGGUUCGCGCUUGUAGCUCUCAGGGACACCGUCCGACCGGAACUUCUAACUCGCCUGCCGCGGCGUUACCCAGCGCGACGCCGCGCCCUAUGCUGCCCGCAGCAGUGACCCGUAUGUUCGGGUUUGCAAGAGCUGCUCUCUGGUGUAAUUUGCUACCAGGAGCAGCCCAGCCGCGCCCCUCCCCGUGCAGCGUAUGGGAGAAGUGAGAGCGAAGAAGGUGAUUUGUCUUUGGUUUUACAGCAAGUCUGGCAGUGCUAGAACCAGAACACAGCUCCACUGACCUUGCCAGUCCAUGCUUCAAUCAGCAGACUAGGGGUUUCCAAACUUGUACAAAAUGAGUCUCUCCUGCUCCACUCCACCCUUCUCUGCUGGGCCCUUCCACAGAGGCGCCACUGUUGCUCCUGGACCACCCCACGCUUCCUGCACCGGCGGCUCCACUCCUACCGGACCCAUCUUCUGAUUCUGAGUGGUCUUGCGAACCGGACCCCGCCUUUUCACCUACAUGGUCCUACAGCCCGGACCCAUACCCUCCAGUGUAUGCCCCAUUGGCCGACCCGUGGUUCCACUACCUGCGGGUGCCGCUGAUGCCUGGCGACCCCUAUGCCUGGCCCUACUGGGUCGCCUGGAACCCCUACCAUGAGUGCAAGAUGCCAUCUUGCUUGCAGCACUGCCUGUCCCCAACAUAUACGGCCCCUCCCCUCUAUGAGGAACCUCUGGCCAUCCCCGUUCCGGUGGCACCAACAGCACCUUUGCCACCUCCGGUCCAUAUGGCUGCCUUCUCAUCUCCAGGCAUUGCCAUCAUUCCUCCCACCACCCUCCCUUGCCGACUGCUUGCAGUACCAGGACUUCAACGCAUGGCCACAGCCCUCACUCUGCCUGUUGAAGACGUCCAGGACCCACAGGAUUAAUUCCUGGACAUCCUACAACCCCUUGUACGCUCAUGUACCGCCCUUCGUAUCCACAAUGCUCUUCUACAACUGACCCAGACCAUUUGGC
This is a long non-coding RNA of Mauremys reevesii (Reeves's turtle), 1285 nucleotides long. RefSeq lists it as uncharacterized. Lineage: Eukaryota; Metazoa; Chordata; Testudines; Geoemydidae. The transcript has 3 exons. The record is from RefSeq and is a predicted model, not a curated record.